UUUUACUUCUUCCUAUAACAUUUCUCUAUCGUUUAAUUGUGCUUCUUUUGUAUGCACGGGAAAAAUUAAAUAUUACCUAAAUAUACAAAAUAGUUCGGUAACAUCAAUUUAUUCUGAUUAUUUGAACCAUUAUUGACCAACCAACAGAAAAAAACAAAAAAAAAACAUUACUAAUGCUCCAGCAACAUAACGACUGAUACACGUUUUAUGAAUUAUAAUGUUGGUUUCUUCAAUAUAUAUGUAUAUAUA
RNAcentral lists this long non-coding RNA (249 nucleotides) under Capsella rubella. RNAcentral's name for it is "long non-coding RNA (CRUB_LNC001478)". The record is from RNAcentral. Lineage: Eukaryota; Viridiplantae; Streptophyta; Magnoliopsida; Brassicales; Brassicaceae.